This 65-nucleotide transfer RNA is filed under the name Mecopoda niponensis. RNAcentral's name for it is "tRNA-Thr". It matches the Rfam family "tRNA". From Rfam's summary of the family: Transfer RNA (tRNA) molecules are approximately 80 nucleotides in length. Lineage: Eukaryota; Metazoa; Arthropoda; Insecta; Orthoptera; Tettigoniidae. The record is from RNAcentral.
GUUUUAAUAGUUUAAUAUAAAACACUGGUCUUGUAAACCAAAAUUAAGAAUAGUCUUUUAAAACU